This 69-nucleotide transfer RNA is filed under the name Nyctalus noctula (noctule). RNAcentral's name for it is "tRNA-Ala". It matches the Rfam family "tRNA". From Rfam's summary of the family: Transfer RNA (tRNA) molecules are approximately 80 nucleotides in length. Their secondary structure includes four short double-helical elements and three loops (D, anti-codon, and T loops). The record is from RNAcentral. Lineage: Eukaryota; Metazoa; Chordata; Mammalia; Chiroptera; Vespertilionidae. RNAcentral also lists the same sequence under 1 other name.
AAGGGCUUAGCUUAGUUAAAGCUAUUGAUUUGCGUUCAUUUGAUGUAGGAUAGAUUCCUGCAGUCCUUG